UUCCUACGGGGGGCAGCAGUGAGGAAUAUUGGUCAAUGGGCUUACGCCUGAACCAGCCAAGUCGCGUGAGGGAAGACUGCCCUAUGGGUUGUAAACCUCUUUUGUCAGGGAGCAAUUGGCGCUACGUGUAGCGUUAUCGAGAGUACCUGAAGAAAAAGCAUCGGCUAACUCCGUGCCAGCAGCCGCGGUAAUACGGAGGAUGCGAGCGUUAUCCGGAUUUAUUGGGCGUAAAGCGAGUGCAGGCGGUUCAAUAAGUCUGAUGUGAAAGCCUUCGGCUCAACCGGAGAAUU
RNAcentral lists this ribosomal RNA (290 nucleotides) under uncultured bacterium. RNAcentral describes it as "partial 16S ribosomal RNA". It matches the Rfam family "Bacterial small subunit ribosomal RNA", at positions 336 to 622 of the family's 1533-position model. The record is from RNAcentral.